Molecule: unclassified non-coding RNA, 345 nt
Filed under: soil metagenome
Description: partial contains 5.8S ribosomal RNA, internal transcribed spacer 2, and large subunit ribosomal RNA
Rfam family: 5.8S ribosomal RNA (bases 1-120)
Source: RNAcentral
GAUGAAGAACGCAGCGAAAUGCGAUACGUAAUGUGAAUUGCAGAAUUCAGUGAAUCAUCGAGUCUUUGAACGCACAUUGCGCCCUCUGGUAUUCCGGAGGGCAUGCCUGUCCGAGCGUCAUUGCUGCCCUCAAGCACGGCUUGUGUGUUGGGCUCCGUCCCCCGAUCCCGGGGGACGGGCCCGAAAGGCAGCGGCGGCACCGCGUCCGGUCCUCGAGCGUAUGGGGCUUUGUCACCCGCUCUGUAGGCCCGGCCGGCGCUUGCCGAUCAACCAAAUUUUUCUCCAGGUUGACCUCGGAUCAGGUAGGGAUACCCGCUGAACUUAAGCAUAUCAAUAAGCGGAGGA